Long non-coding RNA from Nyctereutes procyonoides (raccoon dog), 334 nucleotides. RefSeq lists it as uncharacterized. The transcript has 3 exons. Lineage: Eukaryota; Metazoa; Chordata; Mammalia; Carnivora; Canidae. The record is from RefSeq and is a predicted model, not a curated record.
CAUUGUGUUGUGUCGCCAAAUCAGUGCAAUUGUUCUGCCUCUGCCUUCAGGGACUUGCAGUUUCCCGAAGGGGAUUUAUUUAUUUAUGAUAGACAUAGAGAGAGAGAGAGAGAGGCAGAGACACAGGAGGAGGGAGAAGCAGGCUCCAUGCCGGAAGCCCGACGUGGGACUCGAUCCCGGGACUCCAGGAUUGCGCCCUGGGCCAAAGGCAGGCACUAAACCGCUGAGCCACACAGGGAUCCCCUAGAGAAAAAAAAGUUAUUCAAGGAUUUCAAGCAGAGAACUUAUCUACGUUUUAGAAACAUAACUCUGGGCAGAGUGAAGAAUGGAUUGG